This 75-nucleotide transfer RNA is filed under the name Candidatus Levybacteria bacterium RIFCSPHIGHO2_12_FULL_38_12. Its description in RNAcentral is "tRNA-Pro". It matches the Rfam family "tRNA". From Rfam's summary of the family: Transfer RNA (tRNA) molecules are approximately 80 nucleotides in length. Their secondary structure includes four short double-helical elements and three loops (D, anti-codon, and T loops). The record is from RNAcentral. RNAcentral also lists the same sequence under 2 other names. Lineage: Bacteria; Candidatus Levyibacteriota.
CGGGGUGUAGUUCAUCGGCAGAACGCACGGUUCGGGACCGUGAAGCAGGAGGUCCAAUUCCUCUCACCCCGACCA